UGGGGAAUUUUCCGCAAUGGGCGCAAGCCUGACGGAGCAAUACCGCGUGAGGGAGGAAGGCUUUUGGGUUGUAAACCUCUUUUCUCAAGGAAGAAGUCCUGACGGUACUUGAGGAAUCAGCAUCGGCUAACUCCGUGCCAGCAGCCGCGGUAAUACGGAGGAUGCAAGCGUUAUUCGGAAUUAUUGGGGGUAAAGCGUCCGUAGGCGGUUCAUCAAGUCAGUUGUUAAAGACUGCAGCUCAACUGUGGGCGAGCAACUGAAACCGAUGAACUAGAGUGCUGUAGGAGUAGAGGGAAUUCCCAGGGUAGCGGUGAAAUGCGUAGAUAUUGGGAAGAACACCAGUGGCGAAGGCGCUCUACUGGGCCGCAACUGACGCUGAGGGACGAAAGCUAGGGGAGCGAAAGGGAUUAGAUACCCCCGUAGUCC
RNAcentral lists this ribosomal RNA (426 nucleotides) under uncultured prokaryote. RNAcentral describes it as "bacterial SSU rRNA". It matches the Rfam family "Bacterial small subunit ribosomal RNA", at positions 355 to 796 of the family's 1533-position model. The record is from RNAcentral.